GGGUGGAUCCGCAAGUCGGCCCGGGGAAUUCAACUUGCCGUUUGGGCUGCGGACGUCUUGUCAGGGAUCCGUAAAGACCCGCUGGGCGUCCGGCAGUCGUCGGCGAGUGCACUUUCCUUGGGUAGAGCGCCACGACCGGUUUCGGAGCGGUCAUAAGCCGGCUGGGAAGGUGACUUCCUCCUUGGAGGAAGUGUUAUAGCCCGGCCAGGUCGGCUCGUUCCGAGACCGAGGAUUUGCCGCGCCUCCCUGCCCCUGGCUCUCUUGGUGCGUUCGACUGGGGAAGCACUGCUUGCAGUUCUCUCCGACUGCGUGCCUUGAUUGGUCGGGAAGCACGAGGCGCUUCGGGUCAGUGGCGAAUCGGUCGGUCCUCCACCCGACCCGUCUUGAAACACGGACCAAGGAGUCUAACAUGUGCGCAAGUCAUGGGGUUCUGUACGAAACCUAAAGGCGCAAUGAAAGUGAAGGUCAACCUC
Molecule: ribosomal RNA, 473 nt
Filed under: Mytilaster solisianus
Lineage: Eukaryota; Metazoa; Mollusca; Bivalvia; Mytilida; Mytilidae
Description: eukaryotic LSU rRNA
Source: RNAcentral